Molecule: long non-coding RNA, 687 nt
Organism: Mauremys mutica (yellowpond turtle)
Lineage: Eukaryota; Metazoa; Chordata; Testudines; Geoemydidae
Exons: 4
Source: RefSeq, a predicted model, not a curated record
GCCAGAUUCCCUGGUGUCCUGAGAGAGGGAUGUCAUGGGCCAGCACUUCCCGGCCCCAAGUGAGCUCGGAAUCUGAUUAUACAAGGAGAAGAACAUAAAUCUUAUCAGACAGCCCUCUGCUCUUGAAAGCUUAUGGUCUAAAUAGACAAGAUGGACAAAGGGUAAGAGUAAGAAAGUGACUCACAUACGUUCACACAAGAAGUCUGCGAUAAAGCUGGAACUGAACACAGUCUGAUCGCCAGAUCAAGUUUUGCAAGUGUCAAUUCUUCCAACGCAAAAAGGAGAACAAAUGACAUAAUACAUCUGUUGAGGACCUGGCCCAUUGUAUUUCACUGUUAGGUGCACAGUUUGCUGAUGAACUGUGUAAGAUUGGGUUGGCACACAGUGAACAGUGCCAAAGCAGAACAUCCGGGCCCAUCGGAACUGCCACUGCGUGGCUGGAAGCAGCCAAGGUGAGAUGCAGUGGCAAAGCCAGAACUGGUUGUGAAGGAACUGGAAAAAAUGACGCCCAUCUCCAAGGCACCAAGGGACAGCCUGCUUUUUGAAUGAAUACGGCAAACAUUUCCGACGGAUAGGAAAGUGCCAAGGGCAAGAACAACCCUGGUAACAGCACCAGAGCAUUUUAAUUGUACAGACUCUAGAAAAUGAAUUAGCUGGGCUAAAUUAUUUUAGCAUCUCCAGAUAGCA